Molecule: ribosomal RNA, 467 nt
Filed under: uncultured bacterium
Lineage: Bacteria
Description: partial 16S ribosomal RNA
Rfam family: Bacterial small subunit ribosomal RNA
Source: RNAcentral
GACGAACGCUGGCGGCGUGCUUAACACAUGCAAGUCGAACGGAAAGGCCUCUUUCGGGGGGUACUCGAGUGGCGAACGGGUGAGUAACACGUGAGUAACCUGCCCUUGACUUUGGGAUAACUUCAGGAAACUGGGGCUAAUACCGGAUAGGAUCUCCUGCUGCAUGGUGGGGGUUGGAAAGUUUCGGCGGUUGGGGAUGGACUCGCGGCUUAUCAGCUUGUUGGUGGGGUAGUGGCUUACCAAGGCUUUGACGGGUAGCCGGCCUGAGAGGGUGACCGGCCACAUUGGGACUGAGAUACGGCCCAGACUCCUACGGGAGGCAGCAGUGGGGAAUAUUGCACAAUGGGUGGAAGCCUGAUGCAGCAACGCCGUGUGCGGGAUGACGGCCUUCGGGUUGUAAACCGCUUUCGCUCAUGACGAAGCUUUGUGUGACGGUAGUGGGUAAAGAAGCACCGGCUAACUACGUG